This 500-nucleotide ribosomal RNA is filed under the name uncultured bacterium. RNAcentral describes it as "partial 16S ribosomal RNA". It matches the Rfam family "Bacterial small subunit ribosomal RNA", at positions 29 to 523 of the family's 1533-position model. The record is from RNAcentral.
AUUGAACGCUGGCGGCAUGCCUUACACAUGCAAGUCGAACGGCAGCACGGGAGCAAUCCUGGUGGCGAGUGGCGAACGGGUGAGUAAAGUAUCGGAACGUGCCCAGUCGUGGGGGAUGACGUAGCGAAAGUUACGCUAAUACCGAAUACGAUCUAUGGAUGAAAGCGGGGGAUCGCAAGACCUCGCGCGAUUGGAGCGGCCGAUAGCAGAUUAGGUAGUUGGUGGGGUAAAGGCUCACCAAGCCGACGAUCUGGAGCUGGUCUGAGAGGACGACCAGCCACACUGGGACUGAGACACGGCCCAGACUCCUACGGGAGGCAGCAGUGGGGAAUUUUGGACAAUGGGCGAAAGCCUGAUCCAGCCAUGCCGCGUGCAGGAUGAAGGCCUUCGGGUUGUAAACUGCUUUUGUACGGAACGAAAAGGUUUGGCCUAAUAAGCUGAGCUCAUGACGGUACCGUAAGAAUAAGCACCGGCUAACUACGUGCCAGCCGCCGCAGUAA